AGAUCAUAAACUGAAUGUUUCGGAGUCAGCACAAAAUCCUUCAACUCCAAAUCAUACACUGAAUGAUUCGGAGUCAGCACAGAAUACUUCAACUCCACCUUUACCAAAAAGAACCAAAGAUGAUUUUCGCAUAUUGAAAGUGGGGAUAAUUGCCAUAGUUGUAUGUCUCAACGCAUUGGCUGUUACUGGGAUUGUUUUGCUGUUUGUUAAAAGAAGAAAACAACUGUUCCCACAUCAAGCUAAAAAGAAUGAAGUAGCAACAAGCAGCACAAAUCCAUCACACAGCACAUUAAUGAAUGUUGAG
Molecule: long non-coding RNA, 304 nt
Organism: Protopterus annectens (West African lungfish)
Lineage: Eukaryota; Metazoa; Chordata; Ceratodontiformes; Protopteridae
Exons: 4
Source: RefSeq, a predicted model, not a curated record